RNAcentral lists this unclassified non-coding RNA (201 nucleotides) under plant metagenome. RNAcentral describes it as "partial contains small subunit ribosomal RNA, internal transcribed spacer 1, and 5.8S ribosomal RNA". The record is from RNAcentral.
UCUCCGUUGAUGAACCAGCGGAGGGGUCAUUAUCGAGUUUAUAACUCCCAAACCCUAUGUGAACUUACCACUUGUUGCUUCGGCGCGCGCUUCGGUGCCGCCGAGGACACUUAAACUCUUUGUUUUUAUAAGCAUUUCUGAGUGGCCGAAAGGCAAAAUACAAAUGAAUCAAAACUUUCAACAACGGAUCUCUUGGUUCUG